UGGGGAAUUUUGGACAAUGGACGCAAGUCUGAUCCAGCCAUGCCGCGUGCGGGAAGAAGGCCUUCGGGUUGUAAACCGCUUUUGUCAGGGAAGAAACGAGUUUCUCUAAUACAGAGACUUAAUGACGGUACCUGAAGAAUAAGCACCGGCUAACUUCGUGCCAGCAGCCGCGGUAAUACGAAGGGUGCAAGCGUUACUCGGAAUUACUGGGCGUAAAGCGUGCGUAGGUGGUGGUUUAAGUCAGAUGUGAAAGCCCUGGGCUCAACCUGGGAACUGCAUUUGAUACUGGAUCACUAGAGUGAGGCAGAGGGGGAUGGAAUUCCGCGUGUAGCAGUGAAAUGCGUAGAUAUGCGGAGGAACACCGAUGGCGAAGGCAAUCCCCUGGACCUGUACUGACGCUCAUGCACGAAAGCGUGGGGAGCAAAC
RNAcentral lists this ribosomal RNA (426 nucleotides) under uncultured bacterium. RNAcentral's name for it is "bacterial SSU rRNA". It matches the Rfam family "Bacterial small subunit ribosomal RNA", at positions 355 to 773 of the family's 1533-position model. The record is from RNAcentral.